This is a small nuclear RNA of Fukomys damarensis (Damara mole-rat), 107 nucleotides long. The record is from Ensembl. Lineage: Eukaryota; Metazoa; Chordata; Mammalia; Rodentia; Bathyergidae.
GUGCUCACUUCAAAAGCACAUAUACUAAAAUUGGAAUGAUACAAAGAAGAUUAGCAUAGCCCCAGCACAAGGAUGAUAUGCAAAUUCAUGAGGCAUUCCAAAUAAAU